Molecule: long non-coding RNA, 358 nt
Organism: Asparagus officinalis (garden asparagus)
Lineage: Eukaryota; Viridiplantae; Streptophyta; Magnoliopsida; Asparagales; Asparagaceae
Exons: 2
Source: RefSeq, a predicted model, not a curated record
UUCGGAAAGGGAGCUUUAUUUUCACUGCUUCCUCUAAUUUUUCCCGUCCUCUUUUUUACCCGCCAUCUCCAGUUCCCACUCCAAUAUUCUAUCACUCUUCUUCUCAAAUCGCUAAAUUUCUGGUCAAAUUCAGAUCUAAGAUGGAGGGUGGCUAGGAUUCUUAGUAUAACUUUGGUUUGGAAGAUGAGGUGGAGGUGAAAGCUUCAAUUUGGGGUUAUCUUGGCAAUCUUGUUGUUAGAGGCCUUCAUCUAAAACUCUUGAAAUCCGAAGGUAGCUUCUAUGAUGUUAUUAACACUUCAAAUUCAUGAGCUAGGGAUGGCUCGGGUUAGCUUCUCAUGAAUGCUACUUUUGUAUGCUA